RNAcentral lists this ribosomal RNA (462 nucleotides) under uncultured bacterium. RNAcentral's name for it is "partial 16S ribosomal RNA". It matches the Rfam family "Bacterial small subunit ribosomal RNA", at positions 28 to 507 of the family's 1533-position model. The record is from RNAcentral.
GACGAACGCUGGCGGCGUGCUUAACACAUGCAAGUCGAACGGUAAGGCCUUUCGGGGUACACGAGUGGCGAACGGGUGAGUAACACGUGGGUGAUCUGCCCUGCACUUCGGGAUAAGCCCGGGAAACUGGGUCUAAUACCGGAUAGGACUGCGCGGUGCAUGCCGUGUGGUGGAAAGAUUUAUCGGUGCAGGAUGGGCCCGCGGCCUAUCAGCUUGUUGGUGGGGUAAUGGCCUACCAAGGCGACGACGGGUAGCCGGCCUGAGAGGGCGACCGGCCACACUGGGACUGAGACACGGCCCAGACUCCUACGGGAGGCAGAAGUGGGGAAUAGUGCACAAUGGGCGCAAGCCUGAUGCAGCGACGCCGCGUGAGGGAUGACGGCCUUCGGGUUGUAAACCUCUUUCAGCAGGGACGAAGCGUGAGUGACGGUACCUGCAGAAGAAGCACCGGCCAACUACGUG